This is a long non-coding RNA of Acipenser ruthenus (sterlet), 1735 nucleotides long. RefSeq lists it as uncharacterized. The transcript is spliced from 3 exons. Lineage: Eukaryota; Metazoa; Chordata; Actinopteri; Acipenseriformes; Acipenseridae. The record is from RefSeq and is a predicted model, not a curated record.
UUUGCAUACCAUCUUAUAUAAUAGCAGACAAAACAGUACAAUGUCUAAAUGCCGUAUCUAAAAAUGGUAUAUACAUACAGUGUGCCUACGCCUCACAACGGAAAACUGCAUUGCCAAGUUGGUUGAAUUUGACCACAUGAGACACGAACUUGUAUAGCAGUUCCAUUUUGUCGCCACUGGGUGGCAGCAUUGUUACGGUAUUGGAUUAGCCGAAACAGCGCUGAGGGCGUGGCCAUUAUAUUAGGAACACCCCGCACCAGCAACGGACAUUGAGUACAGUGGGGCUCAUUACAAUGUUUCCAAAUCUAGACUGAAGGCUGAAGAAAGAGGGAUAUAUCUUAUGAACGAUGGACUCUAAUCCUCAAGUUAACCUGUUCCAGACCUUCAAAGAUAAGUGUAGUGUGUGUUUUAUAAUAACGAAGAUAAUGCGUUUCAUUUACAAUGUUGUGACUUUGGCCAAGGUGUGUGGUGUUUCAAUUAUUUAUAAAAGUUUUGAAGUAUUUCACACUGGUGCUCGUUUCGUUCAGGAAUUAUGGUUGGCUAAAAGCAUGAGUCUGGCUUCCCAAUAUGCUUGAAAUUUUAACUUCUAAACCUGAAGUUUAUGUUCAUGUAAAGAAAUGAGCUUGAGCCCUGGUUCCAGGAGACGGGGGAUCCAGUUUGACGCUGCAUUACCCCCCGACUCUCCCCCGGUGUGCCGAGCAGCGGGCUGAAACCAAUCCUGAUGAAGAUUUGUAAAUCUAGCUCCUGAAAUGUGACGUUAGAUUGAAACCAGUUCUGUUGUCUUCCAAGGUAAGUUUGUUUGUGCCAACACAUUUUAAGGCAUUUUCCUGCAAGUUGGUGUUUUGAGAAGUGUAUAAGCUAUUUUUUUUGUAUUUUUUUUUUUUGCCCAAGUAAUGUUUCAUAAACGUUUUGAGAGUUUUAGGCUUGCUAUGCACUUGGAGAAUUUUUUUUUUUAUUUUUUUUGCAUUUGAUCUCUCUCGCAGCAUUGCUUUGUAUAGCUGGAAAGGCUCGCUCGUGUUUCAAUGUGUGCGUGAAAAUACAUUGCUUUACUGUAAAUGUAAAGUUUUUGUUUUUCAGACUUGAGCGAUGCAGAAAGAGGUUGGAGGAGGUAAUUUAGUGUUUAUUGUUUUUAUAAAUGUGUUUGUAGAUUCCACAGGCCUUGAUGUGUUGCAUGUGUAACUUUGCAAGGAAGACCCGAGUGAAUGAAAUGUUUUGGUGUUGACGUGAGAUGUAAUUGUUCUUUUUUUUUUUUUAUGCCAUUGCGCGAGCCUGAUCGUAAAGGUGUGUGUUUUUGUCUUGUAGAAUUUCAGAAGUCCGAUGUGGAUGUGACGAUCCCUGAAGUCUAAGUAUUUGUUUCAAUGUUACGCUUAUUUUUCUGCCCAAGUGUUUCAGAUUCAUAUCCUAAUGAGACUUUAACUCCAGUGUAUUUGAAAGUGGUUUUAGUUUGUAAAAGUAUUUUAAAGUGUGGUCCGGGGAGUGUAACACGUAACACGUAACUAAUUUUGUUAAAUGUUUUUCAUCCCAGUUUCUAGAAUGUACUUGUGUGUUUUGUUGUUGCUGAUCUGUGUGUCUUUGACAGAUUCCUGACCGUGUUGCUCCAGUGGUUGGUCCUGACUCAGACGAGGAGUGAUUUUUAGUCUGUUCCUGCAUGUUGCGUGGAUUUGACAGAGUCCUGGCUUCAGUGGCUGUUCCUGCAGCUGUGUUUUUACUUUCGAAGGCGUUUCACGACUUGAGG